RNAcentral lists this ribosomal RNA (305 nucleotides) under uncultured bacterium. Its description in RNAcentral is "bacterial SSU rRNA". It matches the Rfam family "Bacterial small subunit ribosomal RNA", at positions 337 to 640 of the family's 1533-position model. The record is from RNAcentral.
ACCUACGGGGGGCAGCAGUGAGGAAUAUUGGUCAAUGGGCGGGAGCCUGAACCAGCCAAGCCGCGUGAGGGAAGAAGGUACAGCGUAUCGUAAACCUCUUUUGUCAGGGAACAAAGGCGGGGACUAGUCCCCGGAUGAGGGUACCUGAAGAAAAAGCAUCGGCUAACUCCGUGCCAGCAGCCGCGGUAAUACGGAGGAUGCGAGCGUUAUCCGGAUUUAUUGGGUUUAAAGGGUGCGCAGGCGGUCUGUUAAGUCAGCGGUCAAAGCCCGGGGCUCAACCCCGGCCCGCCGUUGAAACUGGCAGG